This is a long non-coding RNA of Hipposideros armiger (great roundleaf bat), 469 nucleotides long. RefSeq lists it as uncharacterized. The transcript has 4 exons. NCBI's taxonomy places the organism in Eukaryota, Metazoa, Chordata, Mammalia, Chiroptera, Hipposideridae. The record is from RefSeq and is a predicted model, not a curated record.
CCAAGUCGCCGUCUUUAAACCAGGGGUGUUUGUACAGUGUCGUGUAUAGAAAAGAUCCAUGGCUCACAUGUGGGCUGUAGGUAUAUUGAUCUUGUUGAGAGAGCUCACUCAGAGAAGUAAUCAAGACAGCAAUGUAUUGAAAACAAAGCCAUGAAUCUGACAAGAAAGGUACUGAAGGUGCCCACUUUGAUGGCUUGUCGCGCUGGUGCCUUUGAUCUCUGUAGAAACCGCUUUGCUCCACUUCAGAAGAGACUGUCAUGUGCCCCAUUCGCUGGCCUUUGGAUCAAACCAGCAGCAGACCUCACAGAUAGAACCCCACCACUGGCCAUUCACAAAGAGGGGAACUAUCCUACUGUAGAAACGAGCACGUGAUAUAAAAAUAGAACAUGCCAUGUCCCUGCAAAGUGCAGAUAUACAGAGUUUUCUACUUAUCAGCCAACACUGGGAGUCGGAUCUUACUAUUCUCCUC